GAUGAACGCUGGCGGCGUGCUUAACACAUGCAAGUCGAACGGAAAGGCCCUUUCUUGCCGGGGUACUCGAGUGGCGAACGGGUGAGUAACACGUGGGUGAUCUGCCCUGCACUUCGGGAUAAGCCUGGGAAACUGGGUCUAAUACCGGAUAGGACCAUCGUUUAGUGUCGGUGGUGGAAAGUUUUUUCGGUGUGGGAUGAGCUCGCGGCCUAUCAGCUUGUUGGUGGGGUAAUGGCCUACCAAGGCGUCGACGGGUAGCCGGCCUGAGAGGGUGUACGGCCACAUUGGGACUGAGAUACGGCCCAGACUCCUACGGGAGGCAGCAGUGGGGAAUAUUGCACAAUGGGCGCAAGCCUGAUGCAGCGACGCCGCGUGGGGGAUGACGGCCUUCGGGUUGUAAACUCCUUUCGUCAGGGACGAAGCGAAAGUGACGGUACCUGGAUAAGAAGCACCGGCUAACUACGUG
Molecule: ribosomal RNA, 466 nt
Filed under: uncultured bacterium
Lineage: Bacteria
Description: partial 16S ribosomal RNA
Rfam family: Bacterial small subunit ribosomal RNA
Source: RNAcentral